GAUGAACGCUGGCGGCGUGCCUAAUACAUGCAAGUCGAGCGAACAGACGAGGAGCUUGCUCCUCGGACGUUAGCGGCGGACGGGUGAGUAACACGUGGAUAACCUACCUAUAAGACUGGGAUAACUUCGGGAAACCGGAGCUAAUACCGGAGAAUAUAUUGAACCGCAGGGUUCAAUAGUGAAAGACGGUGUUGCUGUCACUUAUAGAUGGAUCCGCGCCGCAUUAGCUAGUUGGUAAGGUAACGGCUUACCAAGGCAACGAUGCGUAGCCGACCUGAGAGGGUGAUCGGCCACACUGGAACUGAGACACGGUCCAGACUCCUACGGGAGGCAGCAGUAGGGAAUCUUCCGCAAUGGGCGAAAGCCUGACGGAGCAACGCCGCGUGAGUGAUGAAGGUCUUCGGAUCGUAAAACUCUGUUAUUAGGGAAGAACAAAUGUGUAAGUAACUAUGCCCGUCUUGACGGUACCUAAUCAGAAAGCCCCGGCUAACUACGUG
This 497-nucleotide ribosomal RNA is filed under the name uncultured bacterium. RNAcentral's name for it is "partial 16S ribosomal RNA". It matches the Rfam family "Bacterial small subunit ribosomal RNA", at positions 28 to 507 of the family's 1533-position model. The record is from RNAcentral.